RNAcentral lists this ribosomal RNA (356 nucleotides) under uncultured Anoxybacillus sp. RNAcentral's name for it is "bacterial SSU rRNA". It matches the Rfam family "Bacterial small subunit ribosomal RNA", at positions 1026 to 1382 of the family's 1533-position model. Lineage: Bacteria; Bacillati; Bacillota; Bacilli; Caryophanales; Anoxybacillaceae. The record is from RNAcentral.
ACAGGGUGACAGGUGGUGCAUGGUUGUCGUCAGCUCGUGUCGUGAGAUGUUGGGUUAAGUCCCGCAAUGAGCGCAACCCUCGACCUUAGUUGCCAGCAUUCAGUUGGGCACUCUAAGGUGACUGCCGGCUAAAAGUCGGAGGAAGGUGGGGGAUGACGUCAAAUCAUCAUGCCCCUUAUGACCUGGGCUACACACGUGCUACAAUGGGCGGUACAAAGGGUCGCGAACCCGCGAGGGGGAGCCAAUCCCAAAAAGCCGCUCUCAGUUCGGAUUGCAGGCUGCAACUCGCCUGCAUGAAGCCGGAAUCGCUAGUAAUCGCGGAUCAGCAUGCCGCGGUGAAUACGUUCCCGGGCCUU